This 492-nucleotide ribosomal RNA is filed under the name uncultured bacterium. Its description in RNAcentral is "partial 16S ribosomal RNA". It matches the Rfam family "Bacterial small subunit ribosomal RNA", at positions 29 to 507 of the family's 1533-position model. The record is from RNAcentral.
AGUGAACGCUGGCGGUAGGCCUAACACAUGCAAGUCGAACGGCAGCACAGUAAGAGCUUGCUCUUACGGGUGGCGAGUGGCGGACGGGGGAGGAAUACAUCGGAAUCUACUUUUUCGUGGGGGAUAACGUAGGGAAACUUACGCUAAUACCGCAUACGACCUACGGGUGAAAGCAGGGGAUCUUCGGACCUUGCCCGAUUGAAUGAGCCGAUGUCGGAUUAGCUAGUUGGCGGGGUAAAGGCCCACCAAGGCGACGAUCCGUAGCUGGUCUGAGAGGAUGAUCAGCCACACUGGAACUGAGACACGGUCCAGACUCCUACGGGAGGCAGCAGUGGGGAAUAUUGGACAAUGGGCGCAAGCCUGAUCCAGCCAUACCGCGUGGGUGAAGAAGGCCUUCGGGUUGUAAAGCCCUUUUGUUGGGAAAGAAAAGCAGCAGGUUAAUACCCCGCUGUUCUGACGGUACCCAAAGAAUAAGCACCGGCUAACUUCGUG